AACGCUAGCUACAGGCUUAACACAUGCAAGUCGAGGGGCAGCAUGAACUUAGCUUGCUAAGUUUGAUGGCGACCGGCGCACGGGUGAGUAACGCGUAUCCAACCUUCCGUACACUCAGGAAUAGCCUUUCGAAAGAAAGAUUAAUACCUGAUGGUAUGAUGAGAUUGCAUGAAAUCAUCAUUAAAGAUUCAUCGGUGUACGAUGGGGAUGCGUUCCAUUAGAUAGUAGGCGGGGUAACGGCCCACCUAGUCGACGAUGGAUAGGGGUUCUGAGAGGAAGGUCCCCCACAUUGGAACUGAGACACGGUCCAGACUCCUACGGGAGGCAGCAGUGAGGAAUAUUGGUCAAUGGGCGCGAGCCUGAACCAGCCAAGUAGCGUGAAGGAUGAAGGUCCUACGGAUUGUAAACUUCUUUUAUAAGGGAAUAAAGUCACCCACGUGUGGGUGUUUGUAUGUACCUUAUGAAUAAGCAUCGGCUAACUCCGUGCCAGCAGCCGCGGUAAUACGGAGGAUGCGAGCGUUAUCCGGAUUUAUUGGGUUUAAAGGGAGCGUAGACGGGUCGUUAAGUCAGCUGUGAAAGUUUGAGGCUCAACCUUAAAAUUGCAGUUGAUACUGGCGUCCUUGAGUACGGUUGAGGCAGGCGGAAUUCGUGGUGUAGCGGUGAAAUGCUUAGAUAUCACGAAGAACUCCGAUUG
This 694-nucleotide ribosomal RNA is filed under the name uncultured bacterium. RNAcentral describes it as "bacterial SSU rRNA". It matches the Rfam family "Bacterial small subunit ribosomal RNA", at positions 32 to 715 of the family's 1533-position model. The record is from RNAcentral.